CAGAAUGGCUGAGUGGUUAAGGUGUUGGACUUCAGACCCAGUGGGUUAGUGCCUUGUGGGUUUGAAUCCCGCUCUCGGUA
RNAcentral lists this transfer RNA (80 nucleotides) under Cervus elaphus hippelaphus. RNAcentral's name for it is "tRNA-Leu". The stretch from base 5 to 73 matches the Rfam family "tRNA", at positions 7 to 64 of the family's 71-position model. Rfam says of the family: Transfer RNA (tRNA) molecules are approximately 80 nucleotides in length. Their secondary structure includes four short double-helical elements and three loops (D, anti-codon, and T loops). Lineage: Eukaryota; Metazoa; Chordata; Mammalia; Artiodactyla; Cervidae. The record is from RNAcentral.